GCCUAAGAUCGCACCUCCCUAUCCACCCCGCCCGACCGCUCUCCACGCCCACCCUCGGCCAGAAGAAGUUAGCUGAGGGCGCUGGGAAACGGGAAACGACGUUUGCCACCACCGCCGGUGAAUGGAGCCACUUCUGUGCUCCGGACGUGGGGAUGGCGCAGCCUACCGGCCAAAGAAAGAAGAAACUGCUGGCCGCUGCCUCCCUCGCUGAAGGGGUGGGCUGCGUUCUUCAGGAGCUAGAGACCAGGCUGGGGUUGUGCGGGGAGAGCUCCUGUCGUCAGACCCCGCAGAGGGCAGUACCUCCGGUGGAGUUUCUCCCCUCACUAGAGAGGACCCCACAGCAGCUGCAGCCAGCAGAGUGAUUUGGAGAUCGGGGGUCAAGGAGAUGCUGGUUCUGGGGAGAAGCACCACAGUAGUGGGAGAUAACUUCCCUCCAGACUGCUGGGGAAGGAGGAGUUGUUACAGUCACAGAGCCAGCGCUGCCCUGCAAGUUCACACAGAGCCUUCUGCAGUCCUGGCAGCCACCUUCUCCGGGGAAGACAUCCCUGCCCCACUUAAAGAUAAGGUCUAGAAACUCAGGCAACAUUCUUAAAACAAUCAUGUUUCCAUAUGUGAGUACAACACUAAUAAAGAUGUGAUAAGUAAAGAACAUUUUGUGAUCACCUUUAAAU
RNAcentral lists this long non-coding RNA (671 nucleotides) under Ictidomys tridecemlineatus (thirteen-lined ground squirrel). RNAcentral's name for it is "lncRNA (ENSSTOG00000030823.1)". The record is from RNAcentral. Lineage: Eukaryota; Metazoa; Chordata; Mammalia; Rodentia; Sciuridae.